AAGUUCUUCUACCGCAGACGUUCUGUGGAAGGUAGUGGGAACUUCAUCAAUACAAGACAUGUGAUGAAAUUCUUCAAGCUUGAACCAGGAGAGUAUCUCAUUGUGCCCUCUACUUUCAAUCCUAAUGAGUGUGCAAAAUUCAUGCUGUCCAUCUUCACAAAGACUGAAUCGCAUACGAGAAAAAAGAAACCUGCAAGGACAUAUGUGUGAGGUUAUUAUAAAUACUGUUAAGUGUCUUGCUCAAAAUAGCAAUUUAACAGUUUAUGGUCUGGUCACCCUCCUACUACUUUCACCAGUGUACCAGUUUUUUUUUUUUUUUUUUUUUUUUAAUCUCUGUAACCACUCAAAUAGGAUUUGGAGUACUGGUUUUACUGUUUUUCUUUGUCUUCUACACCCCUUCUCUUCAAUAUUUUGUUAAUCUGUGAGCUGUGAAACGAAUGUUACCAUUGUUGUUUAUUUGUGAGGUUUUUGAUGUUCUAUCUCAAUGUAACUGUAUGGUUCAGGUCAGUCAGUCACCAAGAGUUUUAAAUGAAAUGUCAUUGCUUAGCCAUUCAGAAAGUCAUAAUGAAUGAAGCCUAAUACAUAUGCUACUCAGCAGUCAAAUUUAAGUAUGUCUUCAAGUGAUACAGCACAAUUCUGAAAUGUACACUACCAAACAAUAAUAAAGACACAUAUUAUUAAAAAACUUUAUGUAAUCGGUUAUUUUUUUUAAAAUUUUGUACAAACUAUAUGGUUCCAAAUCUAGUUCUUUAUUAAAUAUGAUCAGUGUUUUCACUCCAUUUAGCUUCCGGAGGGAUAUGUAGACUGUAACAUCGUAGGUUUUCUUACACUAGAGGGCAGUAGUUUACUAAAUAAAUAAUGGGGGUCGCCACACAGAAACGUGCGAGCACAGGAGUGUCAUUUACAGCUGAUACUGAGAUCCUUCUCUUGUGACACAAAAUACAAGUAGUCAGCAGAGAAGUAUCGCUGUGCAUGUACACCUGUAAUGUGAGUCUCAAAUGCAUCUCAUCGGUGGACCGAGAGCCCCUGUGGGUAUGCACAAACCUGUUCUUGGAGGGCCACUGUCCUGAAGAGUUAAGCUCUAACACUAAUUAAAUACACAUGGACCAAGCUCAAGGUCUUCAGACUCACAAGAAACAUCCAGGCAAGUGUGUUAUUGUUAAGUGUGUAAGGGAGUUAUUUGGAACUAAACUCUGCAGGAUAUUGGCCCUCCAGGAGCAGGAUUGGACACCCCUUAACUACAGUACUAUAAUGGCAAGAAAAAUAAAAAUCUUCCCAUUGUA
Long non-coding RNA from Cyprinus carpio (common carp), 1283 nucleotides. RefSeq lists it as uncharacterized. The record is from RefSeq and is a predicted model, not a curated record. Lineage: Eukaryota; Metazoa; Chordata; Actinopteri; Cypriniformes; Cyprinidae. The transcript has 2 exons.